Molecule: long non-coding RNA, 231 nt
Organism: Micropterus salmoides (largemouth bass)
Lineage: Eukaryota; Metazoa; Chordata; Actinopteri; Centrarchiformes; Centrarchidae
Exons: 3
Source: RefSeq, a predicted model, not a curated record
CAGCACUUUACAGAGUUUCAGUAAUGCAGACCUUGUGGAUGAAGAGGCCUUGCUGGGGGAGAGCGGCUGCUCUACGCCACAGUGGAGGUGCUACGCCAAGUACAUCAGCUCGCAGCAGAUCCUCCUCACCUUCCUUCCUGCUUCCUUCACAGAUGUUCUGAAGUUGAUGGCGUCAGGGCUGGAGACAGAGCCUCAGAGUAACGUCAGCACGCAGGAGGACGACACGCUGAC